GCCCUUGGGCUUGACAUCCCACGAACCUGCUGGAAACAGCGGGGUGCCCUUCGGGGAGCCGUGAGACAGGUGCUGCAUGGCUGUCGUCAGCUCGUGUCGUGAGAUGUUGGGUUAAGUCCCGCAACGAGCGCAACCCUUGUCUUUAAUUGCCAUCAUUCAGUUGGGCACUUUAAAGAGACUGCCGGUGUUAAACCGGAGGAAGGUGGGGAUGACGUCAAGUCCUCAUGGCCUUUAUGUCCAGGGCUACACACGUGCUACAAUGGGUGGUACAAAGAGCAGCAAACUCGCGAGAGUAAGCGAAUCUCAAAAAGCCGGUCUAAGUUCAGAUUGGAGUCUGCAACUCGACUCCAUGAAGGAGGAAUCGCUAAUAAUCGCGCAUCAGCACGGCGCGGUGAAUACGUUCCCGGGCCUUGUACACACCGCCCGUCACACCACGAAAGCCAGCUGUACUCGAAGUCGCUGAGAAGGGC
This 470-nucleotide ribosomal RNA is filed under the name uncultured Methylomirabilota bacterium. Its description in RNAcentral is "uncultured candidate division NC10 bacterium partial 16S ribosomal RNA". It matches the Rfam family "Bacterial small subunit ribosomal RNA", at positions 966 to 1440 of the family's 1533-position model. Lineage: Bacteria; Methylomirabilota (SeqCode). The record is from RNAcentral.